UGGGGAAUUUUGCGUAAUGGGGGAAACCCUGACGCAGCAACGCCGCGUGGAGGAUGAAGCCCCUUGGGGCGUAAACUCCUUUCGACCAAGACGAUAAUGACGGUACUGGUGGAAGAAGCACCGGCUAACUCUGUGCCAGCAGCCGCGGUAAUACAGAGGGUGCGAGCGUUGUUCGGAAUUAUUGGGCGUAAAGGGCGCGUAGGCGGUGCCACAAGUCACCUGUGAAAUCUCUGGGCUUAACUCAGAGCCUGCAGGCGAAACUGUGGUGCUGGAGUAUGGGAGAGGUGCGUGGAAUUCCCGGUGUNGCGGUGAAAUGCGUAGAUAUCGGGAGGAACACCUGUGGCGAAAGCGGCGCACUGGACCAUAACUGACGCUGAGGCGCGAAAGCUAGGGGAGCAAACAGGAUUAGAUACCCUGGUAGUCCUAGCCCUAAACGAUGAUUGCUUGGUGUAGCAGGUACCCAAUCCUGCUGUGCCGCAGCUAACGCGAUAAGCAAUCCGCCUGGGGAGUACGGUCGCAAGGCUG
This 525-nucleotide ribosomal RNA is filed under the name uncultured bacterium. RNAcentral describes it as "bacterial SSU rRNA". It matches the Rfam family "Bacterial small subunit ribosomal RNA", at positions 355 to 896 of the family's 1533-position model. The record is from RNAcentral.